RNAcentral lists this ribosomal RNA (492 nucleotides) under uncultured bacterium. RNAcentral's name for it is "partial 16S ribosomal RNA". It matches the Rfam family "Bacterial small subunit ribosomal RNA", at positions 29 to 507 of the family's 1533-position model. The record is from RNAcentral.
AGUGAACGCUGGCGGUAGGCCUAACACAUGCAAGUCGAGCGGCAGCACAGUAAGAGCUUGCUCUUACGGGUGGCGAGUGGCGGACGGGUGAGGAAUACAUCGGAAUCUACUUUUUCGUGGGGGAUAACGUAGGGAAACUUACGCUAAUACCGCAUACGACCUACGGGUGAAAGCAGGGGAUCUUCGGACCUUGCACGAUUGAAUGAGCCGAUGUCGGAUUAGCUAGUUGGCGGGGUAAAGGCCCACCAAGGCGACGAUCCGUAGCUGGUCUGAGAGGAUGAUCAGCCACACUGGAACUGAGACACGGUCCAGACUCCUACGGGAGGCAGCAGUGGGGAAUAUUGGACAAUGGGCGUAAGCCUGAUCCAGCCAUACCGCGUGGGUGAAGAAGGCCUUCGGGUUGUAAAGCCCUUUUGUUGGGAAAGAAAAGCAGCAGGUUAAUACCCCGCUGUUCUGACGGUACCCAAAGAAUAAGCACCGGCUAACUUCGUG